UUAGGUUAUGAGAAAAAUCAAUCCUUCCAUAGCCAUGGCUAGCAACGAAGCAACAUCCUUUCAAGUUCCAUAUAUCAAAUGGAAUAUCCAUGAUAAUUGAUGUAUCAAAAUGAAGGCUCUUCUGAAAGCACAGGAUGUUUAGGACGUUGUUUAGAAAGGCUAUAAGGAACCACAAGAGGAGCAUUCCUUAACUAAAUCACAAGGAG
RNAcentral lists this long non-coding RNA (206 nucleotides) under Medicago truncatula (barrel medic). Its description in RNAcentral is "long non-coding RNA (MTRU_LNC007991)". The record is from RNAcentral. Lineage: Eukaryota; Viridiplantae; Streptophyta; Magnoliopsida; Fabales; Fabaceae.